UUGUAUAAGAGCAGCUUUCACUUGCGAGAGGUUGGGGAAGUCUACUUCAAAGACACUGCAUUCUUUCAGGCAGCUUAGGCGGUAAGCUGUUGCAUCUAUUCCUGUAAGGUAACCGUCCAUUCUGAAAUUUUGAUUGUUAUGGUUUUAUGCAUUGAAUAUAGUGGAGGCAAAUUAGUUUACAGAGCAGGCACUGACCUGCACCAAGAAGAACGACCUGUGCUCUUCAGUCUUCAAAAAAGUUUGUCGCAGCUUCAAUCCUGGAUCAAACCACAAGGUUCAGACAGCUAGCAUCACACCCGAAACUUCCCGAGCAUUGCCAAGCUGGUCUUUUCUCAUCUUCUCAUGAGGGCUUCGGAGGAAGCUCUCCCCUGCGAGGAUUUCAGCCACUGGAUUGUGGAUGACAUGAUUCCACAAGGCUCGUCCUGCUGCAAUCUGGCACGUGGAGAGUUGGACUGGAUCCUAUUCAUGAUCGAUAGUUGCAUGCAGUGAUCAAAUUGUCUCAGACAUAAGCAGCUCUGGUAACUUGAGCUCCUCCAGCCAUACAGAGUUCACUACAGUGCCUCAAAAGUCUUUCCUCUUCUGACAUGAUCUGGAGAGGACUUCAAAAGCUGUAGAGCAGUAGUAGAGAUGUAGGAAGAAGCAUGAUUUAAAAGUGUUUGGUUUUGUUAGGAGGAGCAGAAAUAGAUCAGAAAAGAGAGUCACACACCCACGCUUGACAAUUUGAAAACAAAAUCCCACCCUCUUUUUCGGGAGAAGGAGAAGGUUACACGGUGGUGCAUGACCUGCUGGGGAUAGAUGUGGUACUGUGGAUAGAACUCAAGGACUGCAGUCAAUCUGGGCCAUCCAUUAGUUCGUUAAAUCUCCUUGAUUGGAGAUUUACCGAUACAGCGUGGGUUUCUUCUAUCCAUCUCACAAUAGGCAUUUGAAUCUAGUUAUAUCAAGUGCUUAGCCAGAAAAGAGGAAAGGUGUGACAAACAUCUGCAUCUUUUGGACUGUUGGAAAGCUUCAUUUGGUGCUGGAAUUUGCCGUCUUCUGGUUGGUGGCCCCAUUAUUAACUUAUGCAACCCACAGCAUAAGAUGUUUAAAGAGUAAAUGAGAAGUGAACUCUAGAGCAAAGAAAAUAACAAAGUAUAAUUAGUGGUUGGAUUAGUGCUUUUGUAAAGAUUACACAGGGAUCCUAAGUUCUGAGGAUGCAAACAGAAUAAUUUUGUGUCCUAUUUUUAUUCUAGAUGCCAUGUUGUAUUAAUAUAUUCCUUCCUCAAGUUCGGGGAUCAGAGUUUAACCUUCUUGGAGCAUUUUUCAAUUUCCUUAAGCAAGAACCUGUUUAUUUUUAUGAUCUUUUAGCUGAAUUAGACUAUUAUAGUGAGAGGUGAGUGCUGUG
This 1381-nucleotide long non-coding RNA is filed under the name Elaeis guineensis (African oil palm). RNAcentral describes it as "long non-coding RNA (EGUI_LNC002618)". Lineage: Eukaryota; Viridiplantae; Streptophyta; Magnoliopsida; Arecales; Arecaceae. The record is from RNAcentral.